Non-coding RNA from Pelobates cultripes (western spadefoot toad), 215 nucleotides. Lineage: Eukaryota; Metazoa; Chordata; Amphibia; Anura; Pelobatidae. The record is from the annotation of a GenBank genome assembly.
CUCACAUUCUGUGUCACACAGAGGGGUAAAAGUAUUGCAAUGGCAGAUUUCCCUGCAGCAGUUUUAGAUUUCUACAUUCAUGAGCGGCAGUUAACAACUUUACUGACAUUAUUAAUCAAAGAUGACUUUUUAAAUGUUAACCGGGACAUGAUAAUAAAAGGCCCUAAUUAGACAGAGCUAUUCAGUAAAAUUAGAUAUUAAGCAUGGAUGUGAUU